AAAGGAUUAGUUAAUUUAUAACAUUAGAAUGUCAAACUAAAAUAAUCAAUAAAAGAUAUCCUUUU
This 65-nucleotide transfer RNA is filed under the name Orientotermes emersoni. RNAcentral's name for it is "tRNA-Asp". Lineage: Eukaryota; Metazoa; Arthropoda; Insecta; Blattodea; Termitidae. The record is from RNAcentral.